GGUCUGGUGGUGUAAUGGCAACAUGUCCUGUUCAAAUUUGACGAUGCGCUGUAUGAUAUAUGUAUCACAGGAAGAUCCUCGUUCGAAUCUGGGCCACGCCA
Molecule: non-coding RNA, 101 nt
Organism: Mycena galericulata
Lineage: Eukaryota; Fungi; Basidiomycota; Agaricomycetes; Agaricales; Mycenaceae
Source: the annotation of a GenBank genome assembly